RNAcentral lists this ribosomal RNA (207 nucleotides) under uncultured Syntrophobacteraceae bacterium. RNAcentral's name for it is "partial 16S ribosomal RNA". It matches the Rfam family "Bacterial small subunit ribosomal RNA", at positions 568 to 774 of the family's 1533-position model. The record is from RNAcentral. Lineage: Bacteria; Pseudomonadati; Thermodesulfobacteriota; Syntrophobacteria; Syntrophobacterales; Syntrophobacteraceae.
CACGUAGGCGGGACUUUAAGUCAGGUGUGAAAGACCGAGGCUCAACUUCGGGGUUGCACUUGAAACUGGAGUUCUUGAGGGCAGGAGAGGAAAGUGGAAUUCCUGGUGUAGCGGUGAAAUGCGUAGAAAUCAGGAGGAACACCGGUGGCGAAGGCGACUUUCUGGACUGACCCUGACGCUGAGGUGCGAAAGCGUGGGUAGCAAACA